GACGAACCGAGCGAACGUUGUUCGGAAUCACUGGGCUUAAAGGGCGCGUAGGCGGGUGCUCAAGUCCGGGGUGAAAUCCUCCAGCUCAACUGGAGAACUGCCUCGGAUACUGGGUGCCUCGAGGGUGGCAGGGGUAUGCGGAACUAUCGGUGGAGCGGUGAAUGCGUUGAUAUCGAUAGGAACUCCGGUGGCGAAGGCGGCAUACUGGUCCACUUCUGACGCUGAGGCGCGAAAGCCAGGGGAGCAAACGGG
Molecule: ribosomal RNA, 252 nt
Filed under: uncultured bacterium
Lineage: Bacteria
Description: partial 16S ribosomal RNA
Rfam family: Bacterial small subunit ribosomal RNA
Source: RNAcentral